ACGGAAGGCAGCAGUGGGGAAUAUUGGGCAAUGGGCGCAAGCCUGACCCAGCAACGCCGCGUGAAGGAAGAAGGCUUUCGGGUUGUAAACUUCUUUUAUCAGGGACGAAGCAAUGACGGUACCUGAUGAAUAAGCCACGGCUAACUACGUGCCAGCAGCCGCGGUAAUACGUAGGUGGCAAGCGUUAUCCGGAUCUACUGGGUGUAAAGGGAGCGCAGGCGGUUUUUUAAGUCUGAUGUGAAAGCCCGUGGCUCAACUGCGGGACUGCAUUGGAAACUGGAGAACUAGAGUGUCGGAGGGGCAAGUGGAAUUCCUAGUGUAGCGGUGAAAUGCGUAGAUAUUAGGAGGAACACCAGUGGCGAAGGCGGCUUGCUGGACGAUAACUGACGCUGAGGCUCGAAAGCGUGGGGAGCAAACAGGAUUAGAUACCCUGGUA
This 436-nucleotide ribosomal RNA is filed under the name uncultured Clostridium sp. Its description in RNAcentral is "partial 16S ribosomal RNA". It matches the Rfam family "Bacterial small subunit ribosomal RNA", at positions 341 to 792 of the family's 1533-position model. The record is from RNAcentral. Lineage: Bacteria; Bacillati; Bacillota; Clostridia; Eubacteriales; Clostridiaceae.